This is a non-coding RNA of Phrynosoma platyrhinos (Desert horned lizard), 72 nucleotides long. NCBI's taxonomy places the organism in Eukaryota, Metazoa, Chordata, Lepidosauria, Squamata, Phrynosomatidae. The record is from the annotation of a GenBank genome assembly.
GCCAGCAUGGUGUAGUGGUUUGAGCAUUGGACUAUCACUCCAGAGAACAGUGUUUGAAUCCCAGCUUUGCCU